UACGGAGGGUGCGAGCGUUGUCCGGAAUCACUGGGCGUAAAGGGCGCGUAGGCGGUCCGGUAAGCGCGUGGUGAAAGCCCGGGGCUCAACCCCGGGUCGGCCGUGCGGACUGCGGGACUGGAGCACUGUAGAGGCAGGCGGAAUUCCGGGUGUAGCGGUGGAAUGCGUAGAGAUCCGGAAGAACACCGGUGGCGAAGGCGGCCUGCUGGGCAGUAGCUGACGCUGAGGCGCGACAGCGUGGGGAGCAAACAGG
This 253-nucleotide ribosomal RNA is filed under the name uncultured bacterium. Its description in RNAcentral is "partial 16S ribosomal RNA". It matches the Rfam family "Bacterial small subunit ribosomal RNA", at positions 524 to 776 of the family's 1533-position model. The record is from RNAcentral.